This 3097-nucleotide long non-coding RNA is filed under the name Papio anubis (olive baboon). RNAcentral's name for it is "lncRNA (ENSPANG00000040338.1)". The record is from RNAcentral. Lineage: Eukaryota; Metazoa; Chordata; Mammalia; Primates; Cercopithecidae.
UUGGGUUUUGAGAACUAGACUUGCCUGCUCUAUAAUUGGUAAGGACAGGGAAUAUAUACAAUUAACCACGCCCUGCAUUAUGCUGGAAGGAGUCAAACCUUUGCUGCACCUGGCACACAAUUAAAACAACUUGCCAGGUUUUACAUUAAAGUUAAAAGUGCUAGGAGUUACCAUUAUAGCAUGUAAUUGAAACUACUGGAAAUAGAUUCACUUGCGAGUUGUGUAAGAACAAUAAAAUGUGUCUUUAAUAAAAGGUUAUAAGAAGGCAUAAACAUGUAAAUUCUUGCCUAGGAUUAAAGGAUUGUUUGAAUUAGAAAAAAUAAAGCUAAAAGUUUGAACAAGUGUUGGAAGGAUUGUAAAAGUUAAUCUUGCAAAAUUCCAUGUGUGAACAUACUGACUAAAUUCAAAAGGAUAUUUUAUGGGUUUUCAGCAAAUUGAGCAUUGAAAUAAAAGCACAACAAGGUAUUCUUAAGGUGCUAAUCUGUUCCUUAGCAAAAUUUGUAAAGGAUUAUAAAAGGAUUUUUGCUUUUAAGUUUCUGAGUCAUAAUGUUGGCAAAAUGAGUCAUCAUUAUGGCAAUCUGGAAUUAUAUUUCAUAACAUCAAGUAUUUUAAAUAUUUAACAUGUUUAAUAGUCUUCCCAAAAUCAAACUUCAGUUUCAAAAUUGUCUUUCCUGAUGCCUGUUUUUUGUUUGUUUGUUUGUGACAGAGUCUCACUGUGUCAUCCAGGCUGGAGUGCAGUGACACAAACUCCGCUUACUGCAAGCUCCGCCUCCCAGGUUCAUGCCAUUCUCCUGCCUCAGCCUCCCAAUUAGCUGGGACUACAGGCACCCGCCAUCACGCCCGGCUAAUUUUUUUGUAUUUUUUAGUAGAGACUGGGUUUCACCAUGUUAGCCAGGAUGGUCUUGAUCUCCUGACCUCAUGAUCCGCCUACCUCAGCCUCCCAAAGUGCUGGGGUUACAGGCAUAAGCUACUGCGCCUGGCUGAUGCCUGGUUUUUUUAAUGGUUCAGAAGGCCCCUGGAACAUCCAGAAAAAAAGAGUCAAGGAAAUUUAUUUUGAACUAUUUAUGGCCUUUAAUAAUAAAGUAAGGUAUACUCCCAUCAACAAGAUUUGGAGCAUAUUUCUCUUUCCCUGCCUGGUUCCUCUAAAAUUUGGAAACUGUCUGCCAUUAAACUCCAAACAGUCAUGCAACCAGAGCCUCAGACAACAGCCCCUUCUGCUGGGGACCCUUAAGUAAGCUUCUGAGGGAGCUCUGACUGCCGUUUUCCCAAAACAGCACCCCCUGUCAGCAGGAAGCAAUUAAGGUCAGUCUUCGUCCUUAUCCUUAUCCUUAUUCUAAUGGCAGUUAGAUGUGCUUCUUUAGAGUGGGGGAAUGAUGUAGCCAAGUAAAUAGCGCCCCCUGGCAGAACCUCUGACCAGCCUGCCCACUGGGAGGAGUGCGCACUGGGAUGGAACCUUGGGAAGUUCACACCAUUUGCAGGGGGGAGGAACCUGGCCUCUCCUCAUCUGGGGUGGUAACCUGGGAUUCCGUCUGUGAGGUGGGAAGUCAGCCAGCGAGACUCUCACUUUGCUGAGUAUACCUGUUCCUCAUUUUUUCCUUUUCACCCAAUAAAUUCCUUUUCUCCCACCCUCCAAAUUGUCUGCGAGCCUAAUCUUUGAUGGUCAUGUGACAAGAACCUGGCUUUUAUCUGAACUAAGGAGAAAGUCCUACAACAUUAGGACAGUGCUGAGGGGAAAUGUGGGGUUAGAGCCCUCACACAGUCCCCACCAGGGUACUAUCUAGUGAAGCUGUGGCAAUGGGGCCACUGCCUCAAUAGCUAAGAAUGGUAGAGCCAUCAGUAGCUUGCACCCUGAGCCUAGAAAAGCUGCAGUCACUCAAAUCCAACAUGUGAGACCAGCCACAGGGACUGACCUGUGAAAAGUCCCAUAGGCAGAGCUGCCCAAGGCCUUGUGAGCCCACCCUUUGCACCAGUGUGUCCUGGAUGCAGAACAUGGAGUUAACAAGGUUAUUUUGGACAUUAAGAUUUAAUGUUUGCCCUGCUGUGUUUCAGACUUGCAUGGAGCCUGCUGCACCUUCCUUUUGGCCAAUUUCUCUCUUUUGGAAGGGGAAUGUUGACCCAAUGAUACUAUUAUACAAUGAUACUAUUUUUGGAAGUAAAUAACUUGUUUUUGAUCUUACAGGCUCAUGGGUAGAAGGAACUUACCCUGAGUCUCAAGUGAGGCUUUAGACUUUUGAGUUAAUGCUGAAAUGACUAAGACUUUGGGGGACUAUUGGAAAGGAAUGAUGCAUAUUGCAAUGUGAGGAGGACGUGAGAUUUGGGGGGCCAGGGAUUAAAUGAUAGAGUUGGGAUGUUUGUCCCCUCCAAAUCUCAUGUUGAAAUAUAAUCCCCAGUGUUGGAGGUGGGGCCUGGUGGGAGGUGUUUGGAUCGUGGGGGUGGAUUCUCAUGAAUGUCUUGAUGCCAUCCUCACAAUAAUCAGUGAGUUCUCGCUCUGUGAGUUCACACCAGAUCUGGUUAUUUAAAAGAGCCUGGAACUUCCUCUUCACUCUCUUGUUUCCUUUCCUACCACGUGAUACACAGCAUCCCCCUUCACCUUCUGCCAUGAUUGUAAGCUUCCUGAGGCCCUUACCAGAAGCAGAUGCUGGUGCCACACUUCCUGUACAACCUGCUGAGCCAUGAGCCAAAAUAAACCCCUUUUCUUUAUAAAUUACCCAGCCUCAGAUAUUCCUUUCUAGCAAUGCAAACAGACUAACACAAUAUAUAAAUAAAUGUAUAUUUGCAUACAUCUACCGCAAUGCUUGAAAUUAUGUGGAGUUUCCAUAUUACUAACAGAUCUUGUGGAUUAGAGUUGAAGAUAAAAACCUGGAUCGUUGUUCUACACUGAAUGUUACAAGCUAAGUUGAGCAAUUACUAAAGUGCCUCAUUUAUAAAACUAAUGACCUCUCUUGGCUAGCGUAUGAGUGCUUAGUGCAGUAACUCAAAACCUCUCUAGGUAUUUUAAACAGAUUUAAUAAGGGGAAUUAGGUGCUUUAAAAAAUCUUUGGAUAAACAAGCUCUGGGCUUUGACUCUAAGCUUCCAAGAAUAACCCCAGCAGAACAU